CCGUGGAUCUCAAAUAGAUCAUUUGUGUCUCGGAUAAAAUUACAGACCAAAUCUGCAACACGAUAGAUAAGCUCUGUCACCAAGAUGUCUUUUUUCUAAUCAAAAUAUUAAGACUAUCAGUCUAGUCCAAAGAGGAUUAUAUGGGACAUACUACAACUCUAAAUAGUGUUUCCUAAAAGCACUUCAGCUACGCUCAAUUUUACAUACCAAAUUCACUCUCCUAAAGUCUCUAAUCAACUAUAUCUCUUGUUAUAUAAUUGUAAAUUCUAAGGUCAUAUAAGCCUCCGUUUGGCAAACUUUAUAAAUUAACUUAUAAAUGAUCAAACUUCAUUUUCAACUACACAUUUUAAUGGACUCAUCAGUACUAUCAACUUUUCUACCAUUUAAUUCUAUCUAUUUAUAAACUAAACCGUUUGUAAACUCUUUCCACGCUGAACCUUAGUGUCCUGCAGGAGCCCCCCUCUGCCUUUUUUGCAGGUUAUCUUCGGCAUUUCCAGAGUUAUUUUUCAAGACUGUUCGGUCAACAUUUCAUUGACGAUUUUGAGCUCAAUAAUUUGACUUUCACUUUGAUUUUCAAUUUGGCAUAAAUCAAUUAUUUUUAACUACAAGUAUCAGCAGUGAAACAAGAGAAAGUCAUCAACUUAAUUGGGUCAGAAGGGAGAGGACCUGCCCUUCAUACUCCACAGGAACAAUAUCAGUAGGAAGAAAUAUAGAGUGACCCUCAAGUGCAAGCAUUACUAAAAUAAAUAAACAAAUUGAAAUAUCUACAACAGAAAACCAAUUGCCAUGUACACAAAUAUUGCGAGUGAAAACAUUGAAAUUGGUCCAGGAUGAAUGUUACCUAUAGCACCAAUUGCAUCUAGACGAUCAGCAUCUUGUACCACUCCGAAUUCUGGGGAAUAAUUACCCCCCUUAAUUCCUCCAAUCUCCUCUUUGAAGCCUGGAUAUGUAAAACAAAUCUAGAUUGAAGAAAAGAAUUAUCGAAAGCCAUGCCACCAGCAAAUAUAUUUACUGCAUAUAGAGGAGUUCCAGGUAUUUUUCAGGUAAAGACAGUGAGCAAAAGGUUUUAAGAAGAGAGAAUAAUUAAAAAUUCCGAAAAUCAAAUGACGGACAUAAAAAAUACCAACAAUCAGAAUGGUGAAAAAA
RNAcentral lists this long non-coding RNA (1146 nucleotides) under Olea europaea (common olive). Its description in RNAcentral is "long non-coding RNA (OEUR_LNC010667)". Lineage: Eukaryota; Viridiplantae; Streptophyta; Magnoliopsida; Lamiales; Oleaceae. The record is from RNAcentral.